GAUGAACGCUAGCGGCAGGCUUAAUACAUGCAAGUCGAGGGGCAGCGGGGGUAGCAAUACCUGCCGGCGACCGGCAACGGGUGCGGAACACGUACACAACCUUCCUUUAAGUGGGGGAGUAGCCCAGAGAAAUUUGGAUUAAUACCCGUAAUAUUGUUAAGUGGCAUCACUUGACAAUUAAAGCUCCGGCGCUUGAAGAUGGGUGUGCGUCUGAUUAGGUAGUUGGUAGGGGUAACGGCCCACCAAGCCAACGAUCAGUAACUGGUGUGAGAGCACGACCAGUCACACGGGCACUGAGACACGGGCCCGACUCCUACGGGAGGCAGCAGUAAGGAAUAUUGGUCAAUGGACGCAAGUCUGAACCAGCCAUGCCGCGUGGAGGAUGAAGGU
RNAcentral lists this ribosomal RNA (390 nucleotides) under uncultured bacterium. RNAcentral describes it as "bacterial SSU rRNA". It matches the Rfam family "Bacterial small subunit ribosomal RNA", at positions 28 to 415 of the family's 1533-position model. The record is from RNAcentral.